GAUCUUGAUAUCCUACUUGGAUAACUGUGGUAAUUCUAGAGCUAAUACAUGCACCGAAGCUCCGAUUUUUGACGAGCGCAUCUAUUAGAACAAAACCAAUCGAGCUUCGGCUCGUACGGUGGUGACUCUGAAUAGCUUCUGCUGAUCGCAUGGUCCAGUACCGGCGACGUGUCCAUCAAGUGUCUGCCUUAUCAACUGUCGAUGGUAGUUUAUAUGACUACCAUGGUUGUAACGGGUAACGGAGAAUAAGGGUUCGACUCCGGAGAGGGAGCCUGAGAAACGGCUACCACAUCCAAGGAAGGCAGCAGGCGCGCAAAUUACCCACUCUCAGCACGAGGAGGUAGUGACGAAAAAUAACGGGGCCGUUCUCUUUGAGGCCGGUUACCGGAAUGGGUACAAUCUAAAACCUUUAACGAGGAUCUAUGAGAGGGCAAGUCUGGUGCCAGCAGCCGCGGUAAUUCCAGCUCUCAAAGUGUAUAUCGUCAUUGCUGCGGUUAAAAAGCUCGUAGUUGGAUCUGCGCUUCAGGACUCGGUCCGCCCAAUGGACGUGAACUGGGCUUCUUGGCUAGUUAUGCUGGUUAUCCCUUCGUUGCCUUCAUCGGUUGCGUUGGGAGGCUAGCGAGUUUACUUUGAAAAAAUUAGAGUGCUUCAAACAGGCUAGUGCCUGCAUACUCGUGCAUGGAAUAAUAGAAUAGGAUCUCGGUUCUAUUUUGUUGGUUUUCUGAGCUGAGAUAAUGGUUAAGAGGGACGGACGGGGGCAUUCGUAUCGCUGCGUGAGAGGUGAAAUUCUUGGACCGUAGCGAGACGCCCGACUGCGAAAGCAUUUGCCAAGAAUGUCUUCAUUAAUCAAGAACGAAAGUCAGAGGUUCGAA
This 872-nucleotide ribosomal RNA is filed under the name Spiroxys sp. 1 MS-2018. RNAcentral describes it as "SSU rRNA". It matches the Rfam family "Eukaryotic small subunit ribosomal RNA", at positions 123 to 1002 of the family's 1831-position model. Lineage: Eukaryota; Metazoa; Nematoda; Chromadorea; Rhabditida; Gnathostomatidae. The record is from RNAcentral.